CCUACGGGGGGCAGCAGUGGGGAAUAUUGGGCAAUGGAGGCAACUCUGACCCAGCAACGCCGCGUGAAUGAUGAAGGUCUUCGGAUUGUAAAGUUCUGUGAUGGGGGAUGAACACAAUGACGGUACCCCAAUAGCAAGCCACGGCUAACUACGUGCCAGCAGCCGCGGUAAUACGUAGGUGGCAAGCGUUAUCCGGAAUGACUGGGCGUAAAGGGGGCGUAGGGGGUUUAGUAAGUUGGCGGUGUAAUUCCGGGGCUCAACCCCGGCGCUACCGCCAAAACUAUUAGACUAGAGUGCAGGAGGGGUAAGUGGAAUGCCUAGUGUAGCGGUGGAAUGCGUAGAUAUUAGGAGGAACAUCAGGGGCGAAGGCGACUUACUGGACGGUAACUGACACUGAGGCACGAAAGCGUGGGGAGCAAACAGGAUUAGAUACCCGUGUAGUC
This 443-nucleotide ribosomal RNA is filed under the name uncultured bacterium. RNAcentral's name for it is "partial 16S ribosomal RNA". It matches the Rfam family "Bacterial small subunit ribosomal RNA", at positions 338 to 795 of the family's 1533-position model. The record is from RNAcentral.